RNAcentral lists this unclassified non-coding RNA (1832 nucleotides) under Arabidopsis thaliana (thale cress). RNAcentral's name for it is "5' external transcribed spacer". The record is from RNAcentral. Lineage: Eukaryota; Viridiplantae; Streptophyta; Magnoliopsida; Brassicales; Brassicaceae.
UAGGGGGUGGGUGUUGAGGGAGUCUGGGCAGUCCGUGGGAACCCCCUUUUCGGUUCGGACUUGGGUAGCGAUCGAGGGAUGGUAUCGGAUAUCGACACGAGGAAUGACCGACCGUCCGGCCGGGGAUUUUCGCCGGAAAACUUUUUCGGCGACUUUCCGCGAUCGGUUUUGUUGCCUUUUUCCGAGUUUUCUCAGCAGUUCUCGGACAAAAACUGAUGAAUCGUCGAGGAGAAUGAGCUUGCCUUGCGUGGGCUGCCAUUAGUUCUUCGAGGCGUUAGGGUGGCGGCGGUAUAAAAGUGUCGGAGUUUUUUCAGCAGCUUCUCGGACAAAAAUUGCUGAGUGGCCGAGAAGAAUGGGGGCGUGUCAUGCGUGGGCUGACAUGGAUUCUUCGAGGCCUAGGGGUGGCGGUAUAUAACUUGUUCGCAUGAUAUUACCGAGAUGUCCCCACAGGCAUCUUUUCACCUCGUCGCCGAAGAGAAUGGGCGUGUCAUGCAUGGGCUGACAUGGAUUCUCCUAGGCCGUUUGGGUGGCGGUAUAGUCGUCCUGCGCACGAAAUACCGAGAUGUCCCCAUGGGCAUCGAUUCCACCCGCCUAGGUUGGAUGGGCGUGCUUCGUUGGAAAGCAUGGAUCCGCCUAGGCUGUCCCGAGUGUGAGCGAGGUGUGAGUGUCGCCCAUGGGCAUCGACACCUUGCGGCUAGGAACUGGAACGAGACGGGUAGCAAAGAUUUCGAGUAGCACUUCAUACUACCGUGGGUUUUAAACCUUCCCUAGUUUUGUUGAUGUUAUUCCGAGAAUUAGCAAACCGUAACGAAGAUGUUCUUGGCAACCAUCUUUUGAUGGGAGUCCGGCUGUUCGAAAGCCGGCCAAGGGUGAUGAACGAAAUGUGAACCCUUGUCUCGCCUAGGUUGGAUGGGCGUGCUUCGUUGGAAAGCAUGGAUCCGCCUAGGCUGUCCCGAGUGUGAGCGAGGUGUGAGUGUCGCCCAUGGGCAUCGACACCUUGCGGCUAGGAACUGGAGCGAGACGGGUAGCAAAGAUUUCGAGUAGCACUUCAUACUACCGUGGGUUUUUAAACCUUCCCUAGUUUUGUUGAUGUUAUUCCGAGAAUUAGCAAACCGUAACGAAGAUGUUCUUGGCAACCAUCUUUUGAUGGGAGUCCGGCUGUUCGAAAGCCGGCCAAGGGUGAUGAACGAAAUGUGAACCCUUGUCUCGCCUAGGUUGGAUGGGCGUGCUUCGUUGGAAAGCAUGGAUCCGCCUAGGCUGUCCCGAGUGUGAGCGAGGUGUGAGUGUCGCCCAUGGGCAUCGACACCUUGCGGCUAGGAACUGGAACGAGAUGGGUGGCGAAGAUUUCGAGUAGCACUUCAUACUACCGUCGGUUUUUUAAACCUUCCGAGUUUUGUUGAUGUUAUUCCGAGAAUUAGCAAACCGUAACGAAGAUGUUCUUGGCAACCAUCUUUUGAUGGGAGUCCGGCUGUUCGAUAGCCGGCCAAGGGUGAUGAACGAAAUGUGAACCCUUGUCUCGCCUAGGUUGGAUGGGCGUGCUUCGUUGGAAAGCAUGGAUCCGCCUAGGCUGUCCCGAGUGUGAGCGAGGUGUGAGUGUCGCCCAUGGGCAUCGACACCUUGCGGCUAGGAACUGGAACGAGACGGGUAGCAAAGAUUUCGAGUAGCACUUCAUACUACCGUGGGUUUUAAACCUUCCGAGUUUUGUUGAUGUGUUUCCGAGAAUUAGCAAACCGUAACGAAGAUGUUCUUGGCAACCAUCUUUUGAUGGGAGUCCGGCUGUUCGAAAGCCGGCCAAGGGUGAUGAACGAAAUGUGAACCCUUGUCUCGCCUAG